Molecule: ribosomal RNA, 506 nt
Filed under: embryophyte environmental sample
Lineage: Eukaryota; Viridiplantae; Streptophyta
Description: eukaryotic LSU rRNA
Rfam family: 5.8S ribosomal RNA (bases 90-245)
Source: RNAcentral
GCCAAGGAAAACAAAAAUGAGAAGGACACUCCCUGUUUCGCCCCGUUUGCGGUGUGCGUACAGGUCGUGGCCUCCUUGGAAUCACAAACGACUCUCGGCAACGGAUAUCUCGGCUCACGCAUGGAUGAAGAACGUAGCAAAAUGCGAUACUUGGUGUGAAUUGCAGAAUCCCGUGAACCAUCGAGUUUUUGAACGCAAGUUGCGCCCGAAGCCAUCCGGCUGAGGGCACGCCUGCCUGGGCGUCACGCAUCGCGUCGCUCCCCACCAUACCUCCCCAACGGGUUGGCAUGGUGUUGGGGGCGGAUAAUGGCCUCCCGUGCUUGUGUUUCGGUUGGCCUAAAUAAGAGUUCCCUUCGGCGGACACACGACUAGUGGUGGUUGAAUAGACCCUCGUCUUUUGUUGCGUGUCGUGAGCUGUAAGGGUAGCCCUCAUCAAAGACCCCAUUGUAUCGUCUUCGGAUGAUGCUUCGACCGCGACCCCAGGUCAGGCGGGACUACCCGCUGAG